AUUGAACGCUGGCGGCAGGCCUAACACAUGCAAGUCGAGCGAGCGGCGGACGGGUGAGUAAUGUAUGGGGACUGCCCGAUAGAGGGGGAUAACUACUGGAAACGGUAGCUAAUACCGCAUACUAUCGGAUAACCCAUAUGGGAUUAGCUAGUAGGUGAGGUAAUGGCUCACCUAGGCGACGAUCCCUAGCUGGUCUGAGAGGAUGAGCAGCCACACUGGUACUGGGACCGGGCCCAGACCCCUCCGGAGGUAGCAUGGGGGAAUAUUGCCCAGUGGGCACAGGCCUGAUGCGGCCAUGCCGCGUGUAUGAAGAAGGCCCUAGGGUUGAAAAGUUCUUUCAGUCGGGAGGCGUUACCGACAGAAGAAGCACCGGCUAACUCCGUGCCAGCAGCCGCGGUAAUUC
This 403-nucleotide ribosomal RNA is filed under the name uncultured bacterium. RNAcentral's name for it is "partial 16S ribosomal RNA". It matches the Rfam family "Bacterial small subunit ribosomal RNA", at positions 30 to 526 of the family's 1533-position model. The record is from RNAcentral.